GCAGUAGUUUAUCGCAUUCAGCGUUGCGCGUACCACGUUGGCAUCGUACAGUUCAGGGCUUGAAAAGCUCAAAGUCAAAGAAAAAGGAAUAGGAGAAAAACGGGGAAAAUAAGCACAAUCACUCAGUGAGAUAUUCCAGCAGGAGGCUGUAGAUUACGACGUUGGCAUCCUACAGUUCAGGGUUUGAAAACCUCAAAGACAAAGAAAGAAGAAUAGGAGAAAAAGAGGAAAAUAAGAACAAUCACUCAUUGAGAUAUUCCAGCAGUUGAGUUCCCAUUCGGAAUUUCUCUGGAGCCCUCAGCUUCGUACAGUUCUAGGCUUGAAAAAACUCAAAACACACCCUGAGAAGAAUAGAAAGUGAAAAAAGAGAAAAGUGAGAAGUGCCACACAGUGAGAUAUUGUGACAGCAAAGUUCCCAGUUGUUGCAGGAAUUCGUGUUGAGCAGAACAACCCUAAAAAGAAACGGAAACUCAGAAUGUCUGAUUUUUUGUGGACUUUUCUUCAUAGAUUUGGCUGUUGUUAUUUGGGGUUGUGUGUAUUUUGUCUUAUCCUGAAUAUUGUGGUCCAAUUAUUAUAAGAAAAUAUAACAAUUUAUCAGAAGAAACAUGUGUGUGUUUUAAGAUUUUAUGUGGUAUUUCUGGUCUUGGGGGGUGCGUUUGUCUUGUCCUGAAAUAUUUUGAUCUAGAUAUUAGAAGAAUAUAUAGGGAUUUAUGAGAAGACUGGUAGGAGAAUAAUAGAGAAUUAGCAAAGGCGGAUGUUUUCGGUUGGAACGGUAGUUUUUCUAGUGGUGUCAUAUGAAAUUGUCUCCCAUAAUUAUGACCCUAGUAUCGAUCUAUUGCAUUUCAAUCUGUUUUAGGGUUAGGGGUGGGGGUAAGGGUAUCUUUUUUU
Long non-coding RNA from Octopus sinensis (East Asian common octopus), 888 nucleotides. RefSeq lists it as uncharacterized. The transcript is spliced from 4 exons. The record is from RefSeq and is a predicted model, not a curated record. Lineage: Eukaryota; Metazoa; Mollusca; Cephalopoda; Octopoda; Octopodidae.